This 371-nucleotide ribosomal RNA is filed under the name uncultured bacterium. Its description in RNAcentral is "bacterial SSU rRNA". It matches the Rfam family "Bacterial small subunit ribosomal RNA", at positions 527 to 896 of the family's 1533-position model. The record is from RNAcentral.
GUAGGGGGCAAGCGUUGUCCGGAUUUAUUGGGCGUAAAGAGCGUGUAGGCGGCCACACAGGUCCGCUGUGAAAACUCGAGGCUCAACCUCGAGCUGUCGGUGGAAACCGUGUGGCUAGAGUCCGGAAGAGGAGAGUGGAAUUCCCGGUGUAGCGGUGAAAUGCGCAGAUAUCGGGAAGAACACCCGUGGCGAAGGCGGCUCUCUGGGACGGUACUGACGCUGAGACGCGAAAGCGUGGGGAGCGAACAGGAUUAGAUACCCUGGUAGUCCACGCCGUAAACGAUGGGUGCUAGGUGUGGGAGGUGUCGACUCCUUCCGUGCCGAAGCUAACGCAUUAAGCACCCCGCCUGGGGAGUACGGCCGCAAGGCUA